UUACGGGAGGCAGCAGUGGGGAAUAUUGGACAAUGGGCGAAAGCCUGAUCCAGCAAUACCGCGUGUGUGAAGAAGGCCUUAGGGUUGUAAAGCACUUUCAAUUGGGAGGAAAACCUACCGGUCAAUACCCGGUAGCUUGACAUUACCUUUAGAAGAAGCACCGGCUAACUCCGUGCCAGCAGCCGCGGUAAUACGGAGGGUGCAAGCGUUAAUCGGAAUUACUGGGCGUAAAGCGUGCGUAGGCGGUUCGUUAAGUCAGAUGUGAAAGCCCUGGGCUCAACCUGGGAACUGCAUUUGAAACUGGCGGACUAGAGUUUAGUAGAGGGGAGUGGAAUUUCAGGUGUAGCGGUGAAAUGCGUAGAUAUCUGAAGGAACACCAGUGGCGAAGGCGACUCCCUGGACUAAAACUGACGCUGAGGUACGAAAGCGUGGGUAGCAAACAGGAUUAGAUACCCCGGUAGC
RNAcentral lists this ribosomal RNA (462 nucleotides) under uncultured bacterium. RNAcentral describes it as "bacterial SSU rRNA". It matches the Rfam family "Bacterial small subunit ribosomal RNA", at positions 339 to 794 of the family's 1533-position model. The record is from RNAcentral.